RNAcentral lists this unclassified non-coding RNA (285 nucleotides) under plant metagenome. RNAcentral's name for it is "partial contains small subunit ribosomal RNA, internal transcribed spacer 1, and 5.8S ribosomal RNA". The stretch from base 1 to 54 matches the Rfam family "Eukaryotic small subunit ribosomal RNA", at positions 1778 to 1831 of the family's 1831-position model. The record is from RNAcentral.
GGAAGUAAAAGUCGUAACAAGAUUUCCGUAGGUGAACCUGCGGAAGGAUCAUUAUUGUAUAACCGAGGUGCGAGGGCUGUCGCUGACCCGAAAGGUCGUGCACGCCCGAGUGCCCUCACACACAUCCAUUUCACCCCUAUGUGCACCACCGCGUGGGUCCCCCUUUGGCUUGUUCGGAGGGGGGCUUACGUUUUCACACAAACUUUGUAUGCAGUGUAGAAUGUAUUUUUUGUUUUUGCGAUCACGCAAUCAAUACAACUUUCAACAACGGAUCUCUUGGCUCUC